CCUAGAUCUAUAAACAGUAGCAAAUAAAAGGCAGUGGGGAACUUUAUUUUGAUGUACUAAAGACUUAAACACUUAAGCAAUGUUGGAUCAUUUAUUGUUCCAGGUGAGCUAUUCUGGCUUGGUAUUCAGAUACACUAACCUGUAACUCAAAUAGAACAUUGGAAGGAUUAUUCAGUGUGAAUUCGUGUUAAUUCAAAGUGAAUUCUAAAUUUUAGGCCAAUUUGAAAUGUCCUUGGAUUUGACAUUUUACGUGGAUAACUUUUUAAGCCUUUAAAAUGACUUAAAUGAACACUAUAGGGUCAGGAACAUAAACAUU
Molecule: non-coding RNA, 316 nt
Organism: Pelobates cultripes (western spadefoot toad)
Lineage: Eukaryota; Metazoa; Chordata; Amphibia; Anura; Pelobatidae
Source: the annotation of a GenBank genome assembly